This 465-nucleotide ribosomal RNA is filed under the name Vreelandella stevensii. RNAcentral describes it as "partial 16S ribosomal RNA". It matches the Rfam family "Bacterial small subunit ribosomal RNA", at positions 338 to 795 of the family's 1533-position model. The record is from RNAcentral. Lineage: Bacteria; Pseudomonadati; Pseudomonadota; Gammaproteobacteria; Oceanospirillales; Halomonadaceae.
CCUACGGGCGGCAGCAGUGGGGAAUAUUGGACAAUGGGGGCAACCCUGAUCCAGCCAUGCCGCGUGUGUGAAGAAGGCCCUCGGGUUGUAAAGCACUUUCAGUGAGGAAGAACGCCUGGUGGUUAAUACCCAUCAGGAAAGACAUCACUCACAGAAGAAGCACCGGCUAACUCCGUGCCAGCAGCCGCGGUAAUACGGAGGGUGCGAGCGUUAAUCGGAAUUACUGGGCGUAAAGCGCGCGUAGGUGGCUUGAUAAGCCGGUUGUGAAAGCCCCGGGCUCAACCUGGGAACGGCAUCCGGAACUGUCAAGCUAGAGUGCAGGAGAGGAAGGUAGAAUUCCCGGUGUAGCGGUGAAAUGCGUAGAGAUCGGGAGGAAUACCAGUGGCGAAGGCGGCCUUCUGGACUGACACUGACACUGAGGUGCGAAAGCGUGGGUAGCAAACAUGAUUAGAUACCCCAGUAGUC